Molecule: ribosomal RNA, 254 nt
Filed under: uncultured bacterium
Lineage: Bacteria
Description: partial 16S ribosomal RNA
Rfam family: Bacterial small subunit ribosomal RNA
Source: RNAcentral
UACGUAGGGUGCAAGCGUUAAUCGGAAUUACUGGGCGUAAAGCGUGCGCAGGCGGUUGUGCAAGACAGAUGUGAAAUCCCCGGGCUCAACCCCGGGAACUGCGUCCGAUACUGGCAGGCUUGAAUCCGGGAGAGGGAUGCGGAAUUCCAGGUGUAGCGGUGAAAUGCGUAGAUAUCUGGAGGAACACCUGUGGCGAAAGCGGCUCACUGGACCAUAACUGACGCUGAUGCACGAAAGCUAGGGGAGCAAACAGG